RNAcentral lists this long non-coding RNA (1627 nucleotides) under Bemisia tabaci. RNAcentral describes it as "lncRNA ENSSSA2NGG012588". Lineage: Eukaryota; Metazoa; Arthropoda; Insecta; Hemiptera; Aleyrodidae. The record is from RNAcentral.
UUUUCCCGACUCGGAUCUCGCUCCCAGCUUAAAAGCCCCCCUUUUCUUCUAUCAUGUAUGCUGUUUUAAAUGUUUUAUCCCCCUUGGUGUCUGCUUAUAGUCGCCAACUGUGAGCCCAGUGAUAUUCCAUUCAAACCGCAAAAUGAGGCUUUUCGGUCGCGAUACUCGGCAAAACACCGCUAUCGUGGGUUUCAGCACUUUUCCAGGAAUUUCCGUUGUCAUUUGCAUUGGUGUCUAUCAUCUUUUUUCAGGUGCUUUGGUUACAGGCACGAAUUCGCGGUCGAAUUGGUGCAUGUGUAUGUUCCCGUCUAGGACUACAAGCCCUACAUCAGGACAACCCGCUUACCGCACCCCUCCCAACACUCGGAAUCUUCCAUACACCAUCACCUCCGAUAGAUCGCCAGGGACCUCACCACCUCCCAUGUCGAACAGAGAACUAUCAACGACGAAAACAAUGGAGUACAUGGGUUUGACCCCAGUUCCUCCCCAAAGAAACCUGAACCUGCCUCCCGGCAGCCAAUCCAAUAUUGACAUUGACUUAGAGGAGGCGUCAGAAAACUGCCGGCAAAACUGUCUUAAACAGUACGGCUACAUAUCCGCUCCGAAGCAAUACAACCUGGGGCGUUCGGAAAUCGUCCCGAUCACCGAUGGCAGGGCGGUUCUCGUUAAUGGGAUUGUGAGCGAGAUCUGCGACUGCGCACUCUCCACGGAAGUUAAAACGCUCUUGGCGAUCGUCCGUCUUGACGUCGAUGAAUUCGACAAACUGCGUCAGAAGCAAAGCAAGACUAAGCUGAAAUGUUUCAUCCGGUCCAAGGGUCUGCACUACCUCAGUUACUCGGAAGUCCGUGAGAAACUGAAGAAAAGUCUGAAGAAGAAUAGUGUGGCGCUGGAUGUUAGCACGGCGUCGAGAAGACACCGGGACUCGCCUUGUUAGGUCGACUUCAUAGCGUACAUAGAAAAUCGUAAAUUCUCAAUUUGUUCAGAUUUUAGCCGUUUAAAUAAAAAUGAGACACAUACAUUCUUUUUUCCGCCUUGAAAUGUACGUAAUAUACCCACUUGUUACAAGAAAAAUUCAAGCCUUCGUGUAUGGUGCGCCCCACCGGGAAAAUUGUUUUUCUGGCGCCAAAACGAUCAAAAUGGCUAAUUCGGCAACGCUUUACUCGCACGCAAUCAAGAUUCUCGGACAAAAUCACUAAUUUUUGGUUCCAAUAUUUCAAGAAGCAUGCCCUAUUGUAUCGUUAGAACAAGUUUCAAGUUGAUCGAAUCCUUGCGCCCUAUACGUAAAGUACCGGUUUUUGGCGCCAAAACGGUCAAAACAGCCAUCUCAUGAGCCACUGCGUUUCGAGCUCAUAGAGUACGUAGAAUCAUAGCGUGAACGGGAGCGCUGGCGCCAUGUUCUGGUCAACGAGUUCCGAGCCCGGUGUGCGCCGAGUUCGGGUCACUUUUUCGAUACAUUUUCGAUCCAAAAUGGCGUUGUAGAAUACGUAGUAAUUCCUGUCCUCUUUGUUUACAUCGGUUUGCCGGGUCCCCAUGGAUCGGAAACAAUCGAUAAUAUAUCGAAAAAGUGACCCGGCGUGACACAGGAGUCUCGGAAUUCGAGACCUGGAAAAUGCUUAAAAUUUGUGCC